RNAcentral lists this ribosomal RNA (301 nucleotides) under uncultured bacterium. Its description in RNAcentral is "partial 16S ribosomal RNA". It matches the Rfam family "Bacterial small subunit ribosomal RNA", at positions 509 to 807 of the family's 1533-position model. The record is from RNAcentral.
CAGUCGCCACGGGAAUACGAAGGGGGCAAGCGUUGUUCGGAAUUAUUGGGCGUAAAGGGUGCGUAGGCGGCUUGACAAGUCUUGUGUGAAAUCUAUGGGCUCAACCCAUAGUCUGCACGGGAAACUGUCGGGCUUGAGAAUGGGAGAGGUGAGUGGAAUUUCCGGUGUAGCGGUGAAGUGCGUAGAUAUCGAAAGGAACACCUGUGGCGAAAGCGGCUCACUGGACCAUUUCUGACGCUCAUGCACGAAAGCGUGGGGAGCAAACAGGAUUAGAUACCCCCGUAGUCCCUGUCUCUUAUAC